AGGCCGCGGCCAGCCGCGCGGUGCUCCCCAUGGCUCAGCGUGCAAACAAUGCCAGGAGCGCAGGGAGGAGCAGGAGCGGCUGCGGUUUGCGCCUUUUCAUCUGCUCAGCCCUGGCGGGGGAGACCCUCGCCCCCAUCCCACUUCUGAAAUUCCUCCCUGCUCCUCUGUGCCUGGCAAAGCUCUUGCAACUUAGCUGUGGGACUUCUGCCAGGGACACCCAGACUUGACCAGACCACUGGUUCAUAGGUGGAUAGACCCAUCUAUGUCACCUCAGAGCCCAUCCAGAUGAAUGGUUUGCUGUUCCCACAGUCCGUGCCCAUGGAGUGUGUUGGUGGCCUCUCCAUGAAGCACAUGCUCCCACACAUAAUUAAAUGGAUAUUUUGAAAACCGGCAAUUACCCACUGGACAAUCCUGAGCGAAAUGCCAUGAAUCACACUCGGCAAACAUGUCGGAGCCAGAGAGUUUGCUGAAGAAAGAACUGUGUCUGAGUGCACACAGCCCACCUUGCUCUCAGCUACCCACGCCAGGCCCUUGUGAAGCCUCAGCUCCUCCAGGUGCACAGGCACCCACGUGGGCGCAGCAUGCAAAGGACCACCGGCAGAACGCAUUGUCUUAAAAAGGCACGCACAUCUAGCUUUUUUUUGUUGCUGUUUAAUGAUUUUUGUUCUUAUUUCAUUUUCCCCCCUCUUACGGAAUUGGGAUACGGUGCUAUUGGCAGAGUACUUGCCUAGCCCUGGUUUUGAUCCCCUGCACCACAUAAUAGGGUGUGGUAAUGUAUCCCUGUAAUCUCAGCCCUUGGGAAACAGAGGCAAGAGAACAGGGGUUCAAAGUCAUCCUCAGCUUCAAACUCAGUUGGGGGCCAGCGUGGGAUCCAUGAGACUCUCUCCCCAAACAAAGUCAGACAAUUGCUUUCCUAUUAGCUCUCUGACCCCUCUUGGUCUGUUGCCUUUUCAGUGUAGUCUAUGGGGAGAGAAUACACCGGGACUGUUCAUAGCUCAGUGGUACAUACAGGCUUUACUCAUGUCCUUCGGCUUCCACACUCAGUACUGAGGACGAAGAAGAAAAGGCAAACUUUGAGUGAGUGAUAUAUGUGUCUCCUCUGGGAAGCUGAGGCAGGGGUGUGGCUAGCACAAUGCUAACCCCAAGGCCCUCUCAGGGUUUUUCUUCCCAGCCAUGCUCACUUUCAUGGGCUUUGGCAGUUUGCUGAAGCCUCUCUGUCUGGCCUGAAGUCCAUGCACAUGACUAUUGUGUUUGCAGGUGUGUUAAAUGGAAACUUACUUACACAGCCUGGUGGUGGACUAGGAUUGACCCAUGACUUGUCUGUGCCCUGUGUUCUCAGUAUUUCAGAAUUUUUUUUAGUAAACUCUGCAUUGCCUUGUAUAUGGGUCGAUUUUA
Molecule: long non-coding RNA, 1395 nt
Organism: Mesocricetus auratus (golden hamster)
Lineage: Eukaryota; Metazoa; Chordata; Mammalia; Rodentia; Cricetidae
Exons: 3
Source: RefSeq, a predicted model, not a curated record